This 271-nucleotide long non-coding RNA is filed under the name Sorghum bicolor (sorghum). RNAcentral's name for it is "long non-coding RNA (SBIC_LNC014342)". Lineage: Eukaryota; Viridiplantae; Streptophyta; Magnoliopsida; Poales; Poaceae. The record is from RNAcentral.
ACAAAGUUUGGUGAUUUUUGGACAUACAGAUAAAUUAUUAAAAUUCCUAGAAGUUUUCUUUACUAAUUAAAAGAGCAAAUUUUUAUACACUUGCAAACUAUCAGAAAACAGAACCUAAUAUUUUUCUUGGGUUCUACAUAUUUCAGGGAGUCUAUACAAAAAUUUUCAUCAUUUUUGGAUCACCACACAAUUUAUUACUCAAUUUCAAACAUCAAGCAUUUUUAAACAAAAAGGAAAAAGAAAAAAAGUGCACUGUGCUGCACUGGCGGCC